This 69-nucleotide transfer RNA is filed under the name Macroagelaius imthurni (golden-tufted mountain grackle). Its description in RNAcentral is "tRNA-Lys". The record is from RNAcentral. Lineage: Eukaryota; Metazoa; Chordata; Aves; Passeriformes; Icteridae.
CAUUAAGAAGCUAUGAAUCAGCAUUAGCCUUUUAAGCUAAAGAAAGAGGGACCCCUCCCUCCUUAAUGA